Microcebus murinus (gray mouse lemur) is the source of this 1338-nucleotide non-coding RNA. NCBI's taxonomy places the organism in Eukaryota, Metazoa, Chordata, Mammalia, Primates, Cheirogaleidae. The record is from RefSeq and is a predicted model, not a curated record.
AGCAUGGAUCAAUCAUCACUUGAUUACUGUAUUGUUUCCAUAAAGUCCCCUGUUAACAGACCCCUCUGCGGACUGCUACAGAGCUUCCUCCCACCUGCUAUUUGGAGUUGAAUCUGAUAGGUAAAACGGCUCCUGCUUGUCAGAGGUUGCUUUAACAAGCUUCACUUCUAGCUGUGUGUGUGACGCAUUCUACCAGCCCCGGAGACUUGCCCAAGUCAGUCUUGUUAUGUGGUUAAUCAUUCACUCACUCACUCAUUCAAAAAAUAUCUACUGAGCACAUACUUUGUGCCAAGCUCUGUGUUAAUUACUCGAUACACAGAGGUAGCAAAGCAAAAAUACAACUCCUGCCCUCGUUGUUCUUAAAAGGGAUGGAGGGAACAGAACAGAAACAGGUUCACGCAAGAUUGUCAAGCAGAGAACUGGCUAAAGGAGACAAGGAAAGAAGCUAAAGAAACUCAGAAGGCCGCUUCAAUUCCCAAGCACGAGACGGUGGCAAGCUGGGUGAGCAAGAGGCAGUGGCAGUGAGAGAAGGGAUGGAUGUGACAGAUAUUUUAGAGGAAGGCAGUUUUCCAUGUCCAGUUUGCUGCUGGAUAACCGCCUCUGGUACAUCUACCCAUUGGGAACAGUCUCCCAUUCUCCUGAAGGGAAAGUGAGUGCUGAUGCUACUCCUGUCUGGGACAGUCCUCAUCUGCCUUGAUGUGAAGCUCUAAGUAACUGAGAAGAUAGAUCAAAGAAAAUUCCCAGCCUACUUAUUGUCAGAAGCUGUGUGUCCUACUUUCAUAGCCACAUCUCCCACCCUGCCUUAACCCUUAUCCAUUUAAAUUAAGGGGUUCCAGUAGGGUGUCCAGGAUUUCCUUUCUUCUCGGUCACUUCAGCCCGGUCUCAUUGCAUCAUAUCUAAUGAAAAUUCUUUGAAUUUUGUGGAAUGUGAUUGGCACCAUUCCCUGGUUUCAAAACAAAUUAGUUAGGGGUAUUUUGUUUUUUGUUUUUUUAAUGUCUCUUGGCCAUUUCCAAUUCUGGGAAAAGCUUCAAAAAUCUAUACAUAAGCUACCAUCUUUCCCAUGAUGUGGGGAACCUUGUGGCAAGGUUUCUUGGUUCUCUCAAAUGUGCCUUAACUCAUAACUAAAUAUUCCUGUAAAAAAUAUUAUAGUAUUAUAUAUUGAAAAUGGAUCUUUUCAAACUCACAACCUAAAAAGGGCUUAUAUUUUAAUGUAUGCCAGAUAGUGUCACCUGGUCCUGUAUUGAUUCAAUUAUACGUUGUUAAUAAGGAUGUCAAGCAGAUCAUCUACCUAGUGUGAGUGUGCUUCAUCCAAUCAGUUGAAGACCUUACUAGAACAAA